Erythranthe guttata (spotted monkey flower) is the source of this 953-nucleotide non-coding RNA. Lineage: Eukaryota; Viridiplantae; Streptophyta; Magnoliopsida; Lamiales; Phrymaceae. The record is from RefSeq and is a predicted model, not a curated record.
GAAUUUUUAAGAUCAUGUUGAUUUUUUUUUUUACCAAAUUCUUAUGAAGAACUUAUAAGUUAUAAGCUUAGCCGAGCACCCUCUUAAUCUUGUUUUCUAGACAUUCAUUUGUGUUAUCUUGGUCCUUUUCAUUUGUGACGUAUCUCACUGGAUGCGUGUUGUGUACAUGAAAUACUUCAUGAGGAAAACAGUAUGGCGGAUCCUUUUGCCCAUUUGGACUGCCCAGCUUUAUAUAGCUGCUGGUGGUCCAAAUUUAUGGCUCGGACAUGAAUUUUGCCUUGCUCAUCUGAAGCUAAAUCAUGUAAGCAAUACACAUGAUGUAUUUUUUUUUCGAUUUGUUAAAACUUUUUCGUAUAGUGAGUUCAAUCGAAUGGCAGAAAAAACAGAUUUCAAGUGAUGGAACUUUAGUACACUAAAUUCGUUAUCUAAGACGGGAGAAAGGAAAAUGAUGAAUUUCGACAGGUUGUGAAAAAUUACUUUGUUUCACAUUUAAAGCAAGGAGGUAGGUGCAGCUGCAUGGAGGCAUUUGUCAGAACUUGACUCUGUAAUGAAGGCGACCGUAAAUCGUAGGGCAAAUUGCAGCCACCCCAUGAGGUAACCCCAAAUUACGAAAAACCCCCUUCAUGUUUAGAUAAUUACAACAACUCCUUUAGGUAUGUAUUGUCUUAUGAAAAAACCCCUCAUUCGGUAGGUAAGUUUGAUAUUGUAAGGUGGAUGUGUAAGACUAAACAUAGUUGAGGGGUGGUUGUAAUUACCCAAAUAAGAGGGGGUUUACGUAAUUUGAGCAUACCUUAGGGGUUGCCGUAAUUUGCCCUAAAUUGUAAUAGGGUUGGUAUUUAUGUAAGUGUUUAUAUGACAAUGGUGCCCUCACUUUGGAAGAGACGAAAGAUAUUCGACUGGAUUGUAAUACAAAACAUAUACUUGUUUUUAGCAACUGCAUUUUGUGUUCAUGA